Molecule: long non-coding RNA, 607 nt
Organism: Esox lucius (northern pike)
Lineage: Eukaryota; Metazoa; Chordata; Actinopteri; Esociformes; Esocidae
Exons: 3
Source: RefSeq, a predicted model, not a curated record
CGUUGCAGCUUGUCAAACACCCUCUCCCCAUCCUGCACUGCUGCCUGAGACCCACGCUGGUAUGUCCUAUAUGUCGGACAUUGGCGUAGUGUACUUGGGUGCAAGCUGUCCUUACACACUCAAAGUAGCAGCUGGCUCUGUGGAUGGAACAACAUUAUCAGGAAGGGUAACAUGUGGAUGGAACAACAUUAUCAGGAAGGGUAACAUGUGGAUGGAACAACAUUAUCAGGAAGGGUAACGUGUGGAUGGAACAACAUUAUCAGGAAGGGUAACAUGGGGAUGGAACAACAUUAUCAGGAAGGGUAACAUGUGGAUGGAACAACAUUAUCAGGAAGGGUAAGGUGGAUGGAACCACAUUAUCAGGAAGGGUAACAUGGGGAUGGAACAACAUUAUCAGGAAGGGUAACAUGUUGAUGGAACAACAUUAUCAGGAAGGGUAACGUGGCUUCCGCUACAUUAUCUACAAAUUAUAAUACAAAAACCAGUGCCAGUAUUGCAGCUGCUGCAAGUCACUGGAUGGGAAACGUCUCCCCACCUGCGUCUCUGUCCGUCCUGCAGCAGCAGAGACCGUCUCGUGACCCUGGUGUCUGUCUUUGAGGCAGAGGGA